UACGCUCUAGCUGCCUAAGGGCAGCUUGUCCGCCUCUCCGAAUACUUGUGGUUAGAGAGACCGACUGAAGCGCACGCACACAAGGCCGUAUAAAGUCAAGCCUCGGGGCUUUGUACUAAAUUAAGAGGAUCGCGAUUUGUAUCCUGUUCGUCGGGUCACAAAGAGUUAAAACAAUAGACGAUAUCUAAGCAUGUAGUAUUCUCGAGCGUAAUGCUGGCGGACGCGGGUUCAACUCCCGCCACCUCCACCA
This 250-nucleotide transfer-messenger RNA is filed under the name Candidatus Kurthia equi. RNAcentral's name for it is "partial transfer-messenger RNA". It matches the Rfam family "transfer-messenger RNA", at positions 111 to 374 of the family's 374-position model. Rfam says of the family: Bacterial tmRNA, also known as 10Sa RNA or SsrA, is named for its dual tRNA and mRNA-like properties. Its role is to liberate the mRNA from a stalled ribosome. The record is from RNAcentral. Lineage: Bacteria; Bacillati; Bacillota; Bacilli; Caryophanales; Caryophanaceae.